AGAGUUUGAUCAUGGCUCAGAACGAACGCUGGCGGCGUGGAUAAGACAUGCAAGUCGAGCGCUGAUCACAGGGUAGCAAUAUUCUGUGGUUGGAGCGGCGCAAGGGUGCGUAACACGUGGGUAAUCUGCCGUGAAGUUUGGGAUAACUUGCUGAAAGGCGAGCUAAUACCGGAUGUGAAACUUGGAAGGCAUCUUCUGAUUUUCAAAGCUGGGGACCGUAAGGCCUGGCGCUUCAUGAUGAGCCCGCGGCCUAUCAGCUAGUUGGUAAGGUAACGGCUUACCAAGGCUAAGACGGGUAGCUGGUCUGAGAGGACGACCAGCCACACUGGAACUGAGACACGGUCCAGACACCUACGGGUGGCAGCAGUCGAGAAUUUUUCACAAUGGGCGCAAGCCUGAUGGAGCGACGCCGCGUGGGGGAUGAAUGGCUUCGGCCCGUAAACCCCUGUCAUUUGCGAACAAAUUGCUCAACCUAACACGUGGAGCAUUGAUAGUAGCGAAAGAGGAAGGGACGGCUAACUCUGUGCCAGCAGCCGCGGUAAUACAGAGGUCCCAAGCGUUGUUCGGAUUCACUGGGCGUAAAGGGUGCGUAGGUGGCGAGGUAAGUCGGAUGUGAAAGCUCGGAGCUCAACUCCGAAAUGGCAUUGGAAACUACCUUGCUAGAGGGUCGGAGGGGGGACUGGAAUUCUUGGUGUAGCAGUGAAAUGCGUAGAUAUCAAGAGGAACACCAGUGGCGAAGGCGAGUCCCUGGACGACUCCUGACACUGAGGCACGAAAGCUAGGGGAGCAAACAGGAUUAGAUACCCUAGUAGUCC
This 815-nucleotide ribosomal RNA is filed under the name uncultured bacterium. RNAcentral describes it as "bacterial SSU rRNA". It matches the Rfam family "Bacterial small subunit ribosomal RNA", at positions 8 to 796 of the family's 1533-position model. The record is from RNAcentral.